Lagopus leucura (white-tailed ptarmigan) is the source of this 303-nucleotide long non-coding RNA. RefSeq lists it as uncharacterized. The transcript is spliced from 3 exons. The record is from RefSeq and is a predicted model, not a curated record. NCBI's taxonomy places the organism in Eukaryota, Metazoa, Chordata, Aves, Galliformes, Phasianidae.
CGUGGUGUACUCUGCAGUAUCAUCACAGGAAGAGCGCAGGAACUGAAGAAACUGAAGAAAGGGAAUGAAUGAGGCACUUUUUUACCCAGAGGAAACCUGCCACGAGGAAAGAGUCCUGGAAGGAACUCCUGAAUAAGCCUGCAUUCAUGUUUUCAUUCCUGAAAUACAGAAGGCUUUGAGACAUGUCUUCUUCCUUCACUCCUCAAAGGGCUGCGGUAGAGAACAUGAAUUAUGGUGUAACCUGUGGCUGGCAAUAGCAUGUCAGAAGUGGGCACCUCCCUGGGGACAGGAGAGAAAUCACAG